This 453-nucleotide ribosomal RNA is filed under the name uncultured bacterium. RNAcentral describes it as "bacterial SSU rRNA". It matches the Rfam family "Bacterial small subunit ribosomal RNA", at positions 28 to 481 of the family's 1533-position model. The record is from RNAcentral.
GACGAACGCUGGCGGCGUGCCUAACACAUGCAAGUCAACUUGACUGAAGGAGCAAUCUGACAGUAGAGUGGCGCAAGGGUGCGUAACGCGUAAGUAACUUGCCCCAAGGUAAGGAAUAACGUCGAGAAAUCGGCGCUAAUACCUCAUAAUGCAGCGGAUCCGCAUGGAUAUGUUGUUAAAGGUUUACCGCCUUGGGAUAGGCUUGCGUCUGAUUAGCUAGUUGGUGUGGUAACGGCACACCAAGGCUACGAUCAGUAACUGGUCUGAGAGGAUGAUCAGUCACACUGGAACUGAGACACGGUCCAGACUCCUACGGGAGGCAGCAGUGAGGAUAUUGGGCAAUGCUCGAAAGAGUGACCCAGCAACGCCGCGUGGAGGAUGAAGGUAUUCUAUAUCGUAAACUCCUGUGAGAGCAGACGAAGACUAGAUUAUAAUCUGGAUGACUGUAUAGCU